Molecule: long non-coding RNA, 1814 nt
Organism: Dermacentor silvarum
Lineage: Eukaryota; Metazoa; Arthropoda; Arachnida; Ixodida; Ixodidae
Exons: 3
Source: RefSeq, a predicted model, not a curated record
CGCUUAGCAAAAGCCCAAUCAUUUAAGACAGAUAUGUGUUUCCGUUAAUUUGGCUUCGUUAUCAAACGACAACACGGCGCAAUGCACAAAUUUAGCUCGGCAGCGCUGCCACUGUUAGCGUUCGACUGAUAGAUCAAGCAGGAGCUGUGUUUGAGGUCUGGCAACGAUCGCACCCCAGCAGCUGAGCAUGGCGCAUGGCUGAGAAAUAAGAAAAUUUGCGCCCGCAUUUGUCUGCUGCUCAUUGUUUCCUUGUGCUUAAUUUGCGGUUCACGUUGCAGUUGUUAAUCGUGGUUAUUAUGGAUGAUUUUGUCCGUGUGUGUACUGUGAUCGAGCCGGAUUGACUUCGAAGGAGGCAACGCAUGGAACGGUUGAUGGGCAGCUUUGUUUAACUUCAAGACCAUGUGCUGCUGAAAGCUUUCUGAAAGCAACAGGACAAAAAAUAAGGGAUGUGGGCCUUGGAAAGACCAGCUGAUGGAAAAAAAUCAACGUCUGUGUUGCACGCAACGCCAUUGUGACAGUCUGCAUCACCAUUUGGCCUGUUGUGGGAUCCCACAAGACACGCUCUGUUCCUCGGUCAAUUACUGAACUUCUGCAAGCCCCAUGGAAGCCAACUGUGAUCCGCAUCGAAUGGAACAAAUUCAUUGUUCCGGCCUUCAUAAUUAAUGUUUAAGCUGAAGUUAGAAACGGAGCUGACACAGCGUAUAUUCUGUAAGAAUUUACCACUGCAUACCGUCGGGUGGCCACAUCCGACGGUAUGCUACUGUCUACAACACUGCUAGUCUACUGUCUAGAACACGGAUGGCGUUUUAUUCUAGAAUAGCUUUGUCAGUAGUGCUACUGCUUGUGUUUGUAGGAUCCGAGUCCACGCUCUUUUUCCAAUCCCAUCAGAACACAAAAAGACGAAGAUAAUUUUAAUUUAUUGUUUCGGAGAUUAACACUUGGACUGACAAGAAAUUAUUCAGUGAUACAGACUGCUUUAAUAAAUAUGGCUUAAGAAAAGAAACCUGGAAGAAAAAUACAGACUUAAGCUGCAAAGUGCCUAUGAAGGCAGAUUUAUGAAAAAUGCCUUUAGUGGUGAUGUUUGAGCUGUUAGGAUGUCAGAAAGGAGAUAGAUGUUUUAGCCAAAAUAGUGCGACAACGACUACAGUGCAGCAGUACACAUUAACUGGAGCUCCACUCUUCUCCGCUUGUACACCAACGCAAGCGCAACACCCUUGAAAAGGCAGUUGCUCUGCAUGGUUGCGUUGGCAGCCUGGUUCCUGCAUAAGAGAAAGGGUUGGUUCUAAACAUACAAUGAUGUUAACGCACAUAAAAACUAGCUUAGGUACAGUAUUCGUUUUCAUCAGUUUACUUUUCGCAGUAAAUGCGUUCAUUACAUAUUUUCAUUGUGUUCAGGAAGCCGAUUUUUUUUUUUACAUUGAUAAGCUCGGACUGUUUCCAUUCAUAUUUGCAAAGAUACAGUUUUAGGCUGGUUUGGCGUUUGCACAUCCAGACCGACAUACACCAAUCUAACACUUACAUAAUGCACUCACUAAUAGCUGGAAUGUGCACAACAAAUAUAUGUGACAUAUAUCUGCUACCACUUGCUAGCGUUUUCUGUAUUAGGAGCUGGGUCAACUGCUACAGCUUUUUUUAUUACAAUAAAGAUAAUGUGAUGUACAAAAACUAUCCUCUCUUGUAUUGUUAUUCAAUGUUUUGUAUUGGAAUAAAAUAUUACAUUCCCUCUGUAUACGUGCAGGUAUAAUUAUGAAAACCAUUUCAUGGUUGCUCACUUCCUCGUUGGGCUUGGAUGUUCAUAAGCAUAAGCUAAUUAA